AUCUACGACCAUGCCAUCCUGAAGAAGCCCGAUCCCGUCUGAUCUUGGAAGCUAAGCAGGGUCGGGCCACCGAGGAAGACCAGGUACUGUAGGUA
This 95-nucleotide ribosomal RNA is filed under the name Pteropus alecto (black flying fox). Lineage: Eukaryota; Metazoa; Chordata; Mammalia; Chiroptera; Pteropodidae. The record is from RNAcentral.